Small nuclear RNA from Solanum pennellii, 131 nucleotides. The record is from RefSeq and is a predicted model, not a curated record. Lineage: Eukaryota; Viridiplantae; Streptophyta; Magnoliopsida; Solanales; Solanaceae.
GUGUUCGUAAAAAAGAGAGAUGGUUGGGAUCUUCCCCCACAGGGAAGGAAACAAACUAUGGGUUUUAUCUGUUACCACACAUCCGUUUAAGGCAUUCGACCUUGCUGAGAUUAGUAAAAGGAUGUGGUGUU